GAUUUAUACAGAAGUGGCGAGAGAUUAGGCUCACAGAUCCACUGGCAACCCUUAGCAUAAAAGAGAAGGUGCCAAUUCCUAGCCCAUUUGGGAGCUAUAAAUU
This 103-nucleotide non-coding RNA is filed under the name Pedobacter sp. RNAcentral's name for it is "SAM-I sequence". It matches the Rfam family "SAM riboswitch aptamer (S box leader)". From Rfam's summary of the family: The SAM riboswitch is found upstream of a number of genes which code for proteins involved in methionine or cysteine biosynthesis in Gram-positive bacteria. Lineage: Bacteria; Pseudomonadati; Bacteroidota; Sphingobacteriia; Sphingobacteriales; Sphingobacteriaceae. RNAcentral also lists the same sequence under 1 other name. The record is from RNAcentral.